Molecule: ribosomal RNA, 474 nt
Filed under: uncultured bacterium
Lineage: Bacteria
Description: SSU rRNA
Rfam family: Bacterial small subunit ribosomal RNA
Source: RNAcentral
AGGACGAACGCUGGCGGCGUGCUUAACACAUGCAAGUCGAACGGAAAGGCCCUUCGGGGUACUCGAGUGGCGAACGGGUGAGUAACACGUGGGUGAUCUGCCCUGCACUUUGGGAUAAGCCUGGGAAACUGGGUCUAAUACCGAAUAGGACCACGGCAUGCAUGUGCUGUGGUGGAAAGCUUUUGCGGUGUGGGAUGGGCCCGCGGCCUAUCAGCUUGUUGGUGGGGUGAUGGCCUACCAAGGCGACGACGGGUAGCCGGCCUGAGAGGGUGUCCGGCCACACUGGGACUGAGAUACGGCCCAGACUCCUACGGGAGGCAGCAGUGGGGAAUAUUGCACAAUGGGCGCAAGCCUGAUGCAGCGACGCCGCGUGGGGGAUGACGGCCUUCGGGUUGUAAACCCUUUCAGUAGGGACGAAGCGCAAGUGACGGUACCUACAGAAGAAGCACCGGCCAACUACGCGCCAGCAGCCGC